UGAAACAAAACUUUCCCUAAAACAAACCCUCCGUCAAUUUCAAAAUCCAAAAAAUACAGACGCAAAAAUUCUCCCCGAAUUUCCUUUCAUUAUUGUAAACCCUAGCCACCACAUCCCUCAAUCACAACUCGUCCAAGUCGCCGCCGUCCAUCCCAAACGGGUUUCACUUAAGCCUUCCACCACCGCCGCCAAUCUCAGUCGCGUCCCUAUCGAUCUCGACCUUAAACGGUCGUGUGUCAGCUGUUCCUUCGCCCCAUGACGACGACGAGUGUCAGUGGAGCCGCUCCAGGUCACCGAACUUGGAGAACCAGAGAUUACCGAACUUGUAUCACUCCCUUACAGAUGACGAGUCUCCCUCAUUCUUAUCUUCUUGUCUGACAAGUACACUUUCUUAUUUUAUUUUAUGAAGUUCCUUUAAUGUUACAUCAAUCUUAUGGAUUGGGUGAUUGGUUCUACUUUGGUUCUUGAUUAUCUUUUCUACAUUAGUAUUUCAUAAUGUUUGUUUCAGUUUUAAUGUUCUGAGUGACUGGCAUUUGAAAACUAAUUUUUCCUUCUCCUGUGAAGUCAAACACUAUUUCCAUAUUUUCUACUUAUAUAUAAUGCCUCCUAUUGCCACUUGGUACUUGGAGAUGUGUUUGUGAUUUAUAUUUGGCACUGCUGAAGGCUGCUCUAACAAUUUGACUUUGUAAUAUAUGAUGAUUUUAGUUAAAUUUCUGUACGUUGAUUCCCUAUUUGAUUUGUUCAUAUUUUUGCUGCUUGGUUAAAUUUGUGUCUUCUGUUAGUUUUUACAGCCCCGAAGGAAAAAUAUCUCCACGUCGCUGCCCUAAAAUGUAUUUGGAGUAAUGUAAUGUCUUGUUUUUGAGUGUUUACUCCUUAAUCAAGCUGUAGUUAGUAUCUGAACAGCAUUGUAGUAGUCUGUAGAUUUUCUUAAAUUGCCUUUUUUUGAGGAAAAAAAAAAUUGAUGUUGAUGUUUUGAGAGAAAUGGGAAGACGUGAUGUGAAGUGAGGUGGGAGAAGUUUUAGAUUCUAUUUGGAUGGUUAAAUGAGCAGAGAAGAGGAGAGUAAAAGAAGAUAAAUAAAUAUUGGUAAUUGAGACACAAAUUCGUAACCUUUGAUGUAUAUAUUACACACAUCUGUGCUGAUUGUUUUCGCUUUUUUCGAGGACAAGCAUUGUGUACCACUGCUGCUGUCCUUGGAGGAAAGAGCUUGGCAUCUCAGAAAUCAGAGAAAAUAGUAAUCUUGGACAAUUUUUGCUACUUGGUUAUUGCUAUUAUGGUGUAUCCAUGCUAUCUAUUUUAUUGAGCAAUUGUAACGGUUUAACUAUCUUGGUGCAAGUUGCAGUCUCAGGUGGAGUUCUUUAUUGUUUCUGGACUCCAAUCCUUCCUUUCAUCAGUGGAGUUAUAAAAUCACAUUAUUAAUGAAUUGAUGAAUCGAAUUUGAAACAAGACUGGAUUUAUGUGGAUAACCUCGUACUCGCACUGGUAUUGGCGAGGAUGGCACUUUUGGAUGACAUUCUAAAUAUAUCUACAAGUAUAGAACAUCCACUUGCAUGCGUGUUAUUGAUAAUUUUCAAAAUAUAUGUCUCUAGCAAGAUACUGACAUGAUGAGAAGGAAAAAGCAUUCGGCUUUCAUUGCCUCCAUAUUAUGGUAUAUGCAAAAGUGUAAGAUGUGGGGCAAACUGUAUAGCAGUAGCUUGUAAUUUGGAAGCAUUCAAAUUUAAUACUGAGCUUGUAGUAUUGACUAUGUAUUUGUAUUUUAAGUUUAUAUGAAGAUGAAAGAUUUUUUUGA
This is a long non-coding RNA of Pistacia vera, 1787 nucleotides long. RefSeq lists it as uncharacterized. The record is from RefSeq and is a predicted model, not a curated record. NCBI's taxonomy places the organism in Eukaryota, Viridiplantae, Streptophyta, Magnoliopsida, Sapindales, Anacardiaceae. The transcript is spliced from 2 exons.